This 625-nucleotide small RNA is filed under the name Pan troglodytes (chimpanzee). RNAcentral describes it as "retained intron". The record is from RNAcentral. Lineage: Eukaryota; Metazoa; Chordata; Mammalia; Primates; Hominidae.
CGCGGCUGCUUCCGGGCCGUGCCGACAGUGCCGCAGAGAUCGCUCUGGCGCCCCCUGGCGGCCACAUGUGGAGCGGUGGGAGCUGCUCCAGUACCUGCUUCUCCGCCUCCCCAUCGCGGCCUUUUCCUUCCCCCAACAGCGCGAGCGUUUAAAAAACAUCGAACGCAUCUGCUGCCUCCUGAGGAAGCUGGUGGUCCCAGAAUACUCCAUCCACGGCCUCUUCUGUCUGAUGUUUCUGUGUGCAGCAGAGUGGGUGACCCUGGGCCUCAACAUCCCCCUCCUCUUCUACCACCUCUGGAGGUACUUCCACCGUCCUGCAGAUGGCUCUGAGGUCAUGUAUGAUGCGGUCUCCAUCAUGAAUGCUGACAUUCUCAACUACUGCCAGAAGGAGUCCUGGUGCAAACUUGCCUUCUACCUGCUCUCCUUCUUCUAUUACCUGUACAGUAUGGUUUAUACGUUGGUGAGUUUCUAAGGGGGAAGCCGGCCAGGGAGCGAGCCCAGAACGGACCGGACGCCUGUGCACCCCCAGCCCUGCCCCUUGGCCGCAGAGGCCUCAGCCCUGGGGAGGGAGGGGGCACUGGUGCCCCCAGCCUCUCCAACCCCCAAACUGCUGCUGCGGGGAACC